RNAcentral lists this ribosomal RNA (465 nucleotides) under uncultured organism. RNAcentral's name for it is "partial 16S ribosomal RNA". It matches the Rfam family "Bacterial small subunit ribosomal RNA", at positions 335 to 797 of the family's 1533-position model. The record is from RNAcentral.
ACUCCUACGGGAGGCAGCAGUGAGGAAUAUUGGACAAUGGGUGGAAGCCUGAUCCAGCCAUCCCGCGUGCAGGAAGACGGCCCUAUGGGUUGUAAACUGCUUUUAUCUGGGGAUAAACCUACUUACGUGUAAGUAGCUGAAGGUACCAGAAGAAUAAGCACCGGCUAACUCCGUGCCAGCAGCCGCGGUAAUACGGAGGGUGCAAGCGUUAUCCGGAUUUAUUGGGUUUAAAGGGUCCGUAGGCGGACUGAUAAGUCAGUGGUGAAAUCCGACAGCUUAACUGUCGAACUGCCAUUGAUACUGUUAGUCUUGAGUAAGGUUGAAGUGGCUGGAAUAAGUAGUGUAGCGGUGAAAUGCAUAGAUAUUACUUAGAACACCAAUUGCGAAGGCAGGUCACUAAGUCUUAACUGACGCUGAUGGACGAAAGCGUGGGGAGCGAACAGGAUUAGAAACCCGAGUAGUCCC